CAAAGCCUCCCUACAAACCUGCACAAAUUUUUUAUAAUGCAAAAUGUUAGGUAUCCUAAAUACAGUAGAAAGGGCCUGAGUGAUCAUGCCUCAUGCUGCUUUUUAUGCUUGUUUCUUAACCAACGUUUAUGUGCUCCAAGCAGAAGUGGUCUCCUCCGCCUGCUUCACCUGACAGUAAUGAGUUUGAUUUAUCAGAUUCUGGAGAUCCCACUUGCCUCUCGCACUGUAAAAAACGUCUAAUUUGGUGGUCUCGAUGAAAUGUGCUUUCUGUUUCAUGUUCCCCGGUGAGAUAAGACGGCUAUCAGGGCAGGAAGCCUUCUUGGAAGUCACCGUGGGCUUGGCAUCGCCGCGCAUCAAGGUAGCCAUGGAAACCUGCUCUCAAAGCCGGCGCCGGCUGAUAAGAACCUCAAGUGCCACCGCCUGUGUCCGGCCGGGAGAAGCAACACCUGCUCAGCAUACUGCCACCAGUGAGUCUGUACAAUUGUAACACUAGUCUUACCCUGCAGAAGUCUGCCCAUAUCUGGUCCACACCCACCAACAUGGUUCUGCAGUGGCUCCUCUCUGAAAUCCUCUGUUCUGGAAGGAGAGCGUACAUAAAAGCAGCUUUCCUACAGUGGUGAAGGAGAUUUGCAUUCAACAAGUGGUUUAUUUUGUCAUGAUUUUCCUGCAAAGACAAAUUUUAACCUUGUAGGUAGUUCUCAGGUGGCUCCUCGGGGUGUGAUUGCAAGGAAUGGCAGUGUUUGUAGGAUGGCAGUGUUUGUGUUAUACCUUCCACUGGUGGGCCCACCUUGCCCUUAGUAGCCACUGCUGCAGGAUCAAGGCAAGAAAGGGUUUGGUUCAUCUCAGAGAUACAUUUGCAGCUUGCAUAAGCAUCCAAGUUGCAAGUAAAGACUUGUGGAGGUCAGGUGCACAAAGCUAGUAUAGUUUUUGUGCAAAUAUGAGGCAAAUGGAAGCACAGCCACAGAAGAUUUACAUCGAUAAAUUUCAAGUCUGGGUCAAUUAUCCAUGUUAAAAAGAAAAAAAGUUCUUGUGGUAAAGUUCUCAUUUUGGUUAUGAAAGUCUCCCAGUGACAUAAAACUUGUUCCUGCCAGGGCAGAAUUAUCCCUUGUGUCAGUGGGGCUCCUGCCCUCCUGGGGGAAGAGAGAGGUGACAGCAGAGAGCUGCCACACAGCCAGCAAGCAGAGACUUCCUGUAAUGCCUUUGUUAAUGGUGUGUUUCUGGGAGCGGGUCCAGGCCCGUUUAAAAGCGUAAAUACUCUUUUACUGUUAUUCCUUGGGUUGAGUUUUGAUCCAUGAGGCUUUAUCUUUGGACACAGCCAUUUCCCAGAGCAGUGUCCCUGUCCUCAUGAUGAAGGGCUCUGCAGUACAUCCUUUGGUUCUCUAAAACACGGCACGCUUUGCAGACCUAAAACAUUUCCUGGCUGAUUGAUGGCAACUCAUUUAAUGCAACGUGUAGGUCUAAAACUAUGAAUAUAUUGAGCUGAGGAA
This 1487-nucleotide long non-coding RNA is filed under the name Anser brachyrhynchus (Pink-footed goose). RNAcentral describes it as "lncRNA (ENSABRG00000010327.1)". Lineage: Eukaryota; Metazoa; Chordata; Aves; Anseriformes; Anatidae. The record is from RNAcentral.